GUCAUUGAAAAGGAGAGGCGUUGUGACAGCAUGACUUAUCAGGAAAUCUUCGAGAUGGUCUACUGAUAUUGGGGAUUCAGAUAAUUGGGAGUCACCUGGCAUCAAGAAGGUUAAGGACCGGUAUGGUUGCGAUGUGCUGUUUAGCAUCUGCAGAAGAAUUGCAAAUCCGUAGUAAGACUUUGAUCUCAUAUCCGUAACUGCUGCCUGCACAUCGGUGUAGUUGAGACCGUGGACCUGUGGGGAAAGUGGGAAGAGAGCAGAAACAAGGAUGAACAAAAACCAAGGAGCCAUU
This 292-nucleotide long non-coding RNA is filed under the name Prunus persica (peach). RNAcentral's name for it is "long non-coding RNA (PPER_LNC003949)". The record is from RNAcentral. Lineage: Eukaryota; Viridiplantae; Streptophyta; Magnoliopsida; Rosales; Rosaceae.